Long non-coding RNA from Mus musculus (house mouse), 1085 nucleotides. RefSeq annotates it as predicted gene, 42199. The transcript has 3 exons. The record is from RefSeq and is a predicted model, not a curated record. Lineage: Eukaryota; Metazoa; Chordata; Mammalia; Rodentia; Muridae.
UCAGGCCCAGACUGCUCAGGGUAAGGUGCGUGACUCCACACUGUGGUCUUCCAUCUAGCUCAUACUGGAAAAAACAGCUUGCAUGCGGGCACUUCCGAGUUGACAGUGCGUAGGACGCCCCCUGCGGGUUGGGCGACAAGAGGCGACCGAGUUGACCGACUGAGUAGGCAGAAGAUUGCAGGAGUUGCAGGAAUUCAUUCAGAAAAGUGCUAUGAUGGCUAACCUGCCCUCCAACUUGAUUGGUUUGGAGUCACCAUGGAAACACACUUCUGGAUGUAUCUGGGAGGCCAUUUCCUGAGAAGUUCAUGUAGCAGCUGGCCCCUCUCCCGUCACCUGCCUUGGCAGCCACUGUAGCCUGAAGAAGCCCUUCCUGCCUGAAGUUGCUUUUGUGAGGUUCUUUGUCACGGGAAUAAAGACAUGAACUGAGGUAGGAAUCCAGAGCUUCUGGAAACCCACAUCAGAGGUUUUCAUCCCAAUUCUCCUACCUCUAAAUUGUCAGAUGUCUACCAGAGACACAUACUGUCUCAAUAAUUCCUCACUUUAACUUCUUGGAAAGUCCUAUUCUUCUUCAGGGAGGUAAUUUACCAAGCUAAAGUGUAGCAGAUGCAGCUGCUGGGGAGAUGCAGCAGGAAAGUCCUGGGAAGCCUGGCACUCUUGCUGAGGACCUCCUCCUCUCUCUCUAGUUUCCUUCUUGCUGGGAGCUGGGGGUGAAAUAGGAAUUGUAGACCAAGAGCAACACUUCACAGAAAAAAGGGACACCGGUUGUGGUGGUGCAUGCCGGUAGGAUUUGCUGAGGAAGGCAGAAAAAAAGGGACUUUGCCCGCCCUGAUAUGCUAUGUUCAGGCUUCUCCUUACAGGGGAAAAUAAAAAUUCCUUCCUCGUUUAACUCACAGUCAGGAUAGUUCCGUAGCAGCAGAUACACUGUUCUUUCAGAAGACAAGGCUAAAAAUUAUUCUAGGCACCUUACCUAAAAGGGUGUCAUCCCAGGGAGAGACGUUUUUCUCCCCAAGCAUAAGAAAUGAUAGGUUCACCGGGCGGUGAUGGCGCACGCCUUUAAUCCCACCACUUGGGAGGCAGAGGCAGGU